Molecule: ribosomal RNA, 1250 nt
Filed under: metagenome
Description: bacterial LSU rRNA
Rfam family: Bacterial large subunit ribosomal RNA
Source: RNAcentral
CUAUACGACCGAACCGCAAACCGACACUGGUGCGCGAGAUGAGUAUUCUAAGGCGCUUGAGAGAACUCAGGAGAAGGAACUCGGCAAAUUGACACCGUAACUUCGGAAGAAGGUGUGCCCUAUUAGUGUGUAGUGAACAACGAAGCAUGAAUGGGUUGCAAAAAAUCGGUGGCUGCGACUGUUUAUUAAAAACACAGCACUCUGCAAACACGAAAGUGGACGUAUAGGGUGUGACGCCUGCCCGGUGCUGGAAGAUUAAAUGAUGGGGUGCAAGCUCUUGAUUGAAGUCCCAGUAAACGGCGGCCGUAACGAUAACGGUCCUAAGGUAGCGAAAUUCCUUGUCGGGUAAGUUCCGACCUGCACGAAUGGCGUAACGAUGGCCACACUGUCUCCUCCUGAGAUUCAGCGAAGUUGAAAUGUUUGUGAUGAUGCAAUCUCCCCGCGGAAAGACGGAAAGACCCCAUGAACCUUUACUGUAGCUUUGUAUUGGACUUUGAACAGAUCUGUGUAGGAUAGGUGGGAGGCUUUGAAGCAGGGUCGCUAGAUCUUGUGGAGCCAACGUUGAAAUACCACCCUGGUGUGUUUGAGGUUCUAACCUAGGUCCAUUAUCUGGAUCGGGGACAGUGCAUGGUAGGCAGUUUGACUGGGGCGGUCUCCUCCCAAAGCGUAACGGAGGAGUUCGAAGGUACGCUAGUUACGGUCGGACAUCGUGACGAUAGUGCAAUGGCAUAAGCGUGCUUAACUGCGAGACUGACAAGUCGAGCAGAUGCGAAAGCAGGACAUAGUGAUCCGGUGGUUCUGUAUGGAAGGGCCAUCGCUCAACGGAUAAAAGGUACUCUGGGGAUAACAGGCUGAUACCGCCCAAGAGUUCAUAUCGACGGCGGUGUUUGGCACCUCGAUGUCGGCUCAUCUCAUCCUGGGGCUGUAGCCGGUCCCAAGGGUAUGGCUGUUCGCCAUUUAAAGAGGUACGUGAGCUGGGUUUAAAACGUCGUGAGACAGUUUGGUCCCUAUCUUCCGUGGGCGCUGCAGAUUUGAGGAAGCCUGCUCCUAGUACGAGAGGACCGGAGUGGACACACCUCUGGUGUAUCGGUUGUCACGCCAGUGGCAUUGCCGAGUAGCUAAGUGUGGAAGAGAUAACCGCUGAAAGCAUCUAAGCGGGAAACUCGUUUCAAGAUGAGAUCUGCCGGGGCCUUGAGCCCCCUAAAGAGUCGUUCAAGACCAGGACGUUGAUAGGUCAGGUGUGGAAGCUA